Hemicordylus capensis (graceful crag lizard) is the source of this 6301-nucleotide RNA transcript. It is a transcript of the gene named male germ cell associated kinase, with no coding region annotated. Lineage: Eukaryota; Metazoa; Chordata; Lepidosauria; Squamata; Cordylidae. The record is from RefSeq and is a predicted model, not a curated record. The transcript is spliced from 15 exons.
UAGGCGACGGGUCGCCGCCGGAGCAGAGCCCCGCCGCAGGUAGAGUCGUUGGAGCUGCCGGCAGUUCAUAGGUUGGGAUGAGGCAGCUGAGAGAAGAAGGACCCGGAGGGGGAGGCCCCGGCAGCUCCACAGGCAGCCAGGAGCGCAACAGAUGCCUGUAAGAAUGGCAGCAUAAUUCCCUUCACUGCUACAUUAUUUCUUGAUAGAGUGGUUAUAAUACUGGGAAAGAAGACUGAUGACUUGAGCAAAUAUGAUGACAAAUUGCUCAUACAUGUAACAGCAACAACCAGGAAAUCCAUACUUGGGGAAAAAGUUUUUUCAACGUUUUUGAGGAUUUGGCUAACCUGCCUUUUACAAAAUGAAUCGUUAUACAACGAUGAGACAGCUUGGGGACGGAACAUAUGGCAGUGUGUUGAUGGGGAAGAGCAAUGAAUCAGGGGAACUUGUGGCCAUCAAAAGAAUGAAAAGGAAGUUCUACUCUUGGGAUGAAUGUAUGAAUCUGAGAGAAGUAAAGUCUCUGAAGAAACUUAAUCAUGCAAAUGUGAUAAAGCUGAAGGAAGUUAUUCGAGAAAAUGACCAUCUUUAUUUUGUGUUUGAGUAUAUGAAGGAAAAUCUCUAUCAGCUAAUGAAGGGCAGAAGCAAGUUUUUUCCUGAGUCUGUCAUCAGGAACAUUAUGUAUCAGAUCUUGCAAGGCCUAGCCUUCAUCCAUAAACAUGGAUUCUUCCACCGGGAUAUGAAACCUGAAAAUCUUCUUUGUAUGGGACCAGAACUGGUUAAAAUAGCUGAUUUUGGAUUGGCUAGAGAACUAAGGUCUCAGCCGCCAUAUACUGAUUAUGUUUCUACCAGAUGGUACCGUGCACCUGAGGUUUUACUGAGAUCUUCAAUUUAUAGUUCUCCUAUUGACAUAUGGGCCGUUGGCAGCAUAAUGGCAGAACUGUAUACCCUAAGACCACUUUUUCCGGGAACAAGUGAAGUUGAUGAAAUCUUCAAAAUUUGCCAAGUAUUAGGAACCCCCAAAAGGAGUGAUUGGCCAGAAGGAUACCAACUUGCCGCUGCAAUGAAUUUUUGCUUCCCUCAGUUUGUCUCCAUGAGCCUAAAGACUCUCAUUCCAAAUGCCAGCAGUGAGGCACUACAGCUUAUGAAUGAUAUGCUGAAUUGGGAUCCAAGGAAACGACCUACAGCAAGUCAGGCGUUGAAGUAUCCUUACUUUCAAGUUGGCCAAGUUUUAGGACCACCUCCACAAUAUCUGGAUCAGAAACAGUCUCAUCCCAAACCAAUUCAGCCAGCAGAGCCAAAGCCAUCUCUACCCAAAUUAGACCCCGUAUCAAAAUUAGACUCUGAAUCUAAGCCAGAAUCUCAGUCCUCACCAGAUGCACCAGACAAAUUCCAGCUGCAGUCUGUAUCAAAGAAUAACCAACAUCCCCUCCAGGCAAUUCAGCUGCCCCAGAACACAAUCAACCAGCAACCAAUGAAACAGCAGCAGCCACAAUCCUUCCUUCCAGCCAUCAAUAAAAACUCAUCACCCAAGCAAACAGCCAUUGGAACUUCAAAUGGUGCAGUCACCUUGAAAAGCUGUCGGCGACGGUGGGGUCAGACAAAAUUAAAGACUAUGGAUAGUUGGGACAAUUAUGAUGAUGCAGAAUUUGGGAUUUCUUAUUCUAAGAAGCCCAGCAUUACCGUGCUAAAUGAAAAGAAAACUAAAGAUUCUCUUUUUAGUGUUCCUGAAUCUAAGUCCCCUAGCUCUGGCCAAACAGGAGGAGAAAAUAAGGUUCUGAAGAGAAAUGAUUCUGGAAUAUCAACUACAUCAGCAAAACAGUACUACCUAAAACAAUCAAGAUACGUGCCUGGUGUAAACCCUAAGAAUGUCUCCUUAGGAGCAGCCAAUAAAGAAGGAUCCCAUGGAACCUGGAACAGUACCUUGUUUUCAAAACCGCUAGGACCUAUUGGAGGCUUGUCUUUCAGCCGAGUCAAUGCAGAAGAAAACUUAAUUAAACCUAUUGAAAAACUGUCAUGCAAAGAAAGAGUGAGUGACAAAUUAGAGGAUCUAAAAGGCUGGAAGGGCUGUACCUUUUACUUUUGCUGACACCGUGGCAGAGGGUAACAGUUUCCUCUGCUCCCACUGCCAGACCAUCCAUAGGCCAGGAGGCCACAUAUUUUGUUACAGUGAGCACCACCACCUUUGAAUGGCAGUGCUCAAGCAGUGAUGGAUGUGAUUCACAUUCUUCAACAGCAUACUCUUCCACAUGCCUUGGCGUGGUUCAGCUACUUUCCUUUGAGCUCUCUGCUUUGCUUACUGCAGUGAGAAUUCAGAGCAGCCUGUUGGGGUUUGAAACAGAAGAUAUUGGAUGGGGGCUGUCAGAUUUUGAGGUGAUUUUUGUUUAAUUCCCUAAAUAAAGUUAGUUAAGUAGGAGUUGAGCUAGGUCUCAGUUAAUUAACCAUCCUCUUUUGCUCUUGUUUUUCAGUGUUCAGAUCUGGGUAAUAUACUGUCAGACUGUCCACCACCCCCUCCAAGUAGUCCUAGUGAAGUAAAUAUAUUUAAGAGUGUGAGCCUUCAUGUGUUUUGCACUUUACUAAAAUUGUUCUGAUAUUGAUUAUUUUUUUUCCAUUUUGGGUUUUAGGCUAAUCCCUGAAGGAAAAGGAGAGGAAAAUGUAAAUUGUACUGAAUCCACGCCUCAUUAAAGAUGUAUUUUCAACCUUUCCUUCUGUGGUGUUCUUUAACUAUCUGGAUAUUAGUUUACAACUGGCACACCAUGAACAGUCAAAUCAGCCUGAAAGAAAGGUUGCUGGGACUGAGUUUUACGAAGUGUAACUUUUUUUCCUGUUGCAUUUUUGUAGGCCACCACAAGUAGGUUGCACAAACUGGCUAAGAUCUAGACGAAUGUUACACUCACAGAAAAGCAUUUGGGUUGUGCAUGGGGGGAGGGGCAAUUUUGACCCACCCACCCCCACCCCGCCUUCCUCUGCAGCCACCUAUUCCUCCUGAAAAUUAUGUUCCUGAGGGUCCCACAAACCUCAGCAACAUUUUGGGAGGUACAGCUAGCUGUAGCCGGAAGGGGGAAUUUCCAAAAAUGGCCCCUUCCACCACUUUGCUGAUGAAAAACACUCUUCUGUGAACACCAAAUUAAUCUGGAUGUCAGCCAUUGUUCCCAGGCCUGCCUGGAGUCUACUUGAAACCAAAACAAGAGCAAGGGCAAUCACAGGAAAACAACCAAGCAAAACAAAGAGGAAAGAACACACCCGUGACUAAGAUGGGCAUAUAGAAAAGUCAUAUAUUGCAAAAGACAAUUAGAAAUAUGUAUUGAUAAUCAGUAGAAAAAUAGUAAGAUAAUUUCUUAUUUCUUGCAAUUGUAAGAAAAUUAAUAAUUGAACCAAACAUGACAAUUCAAAUAGAAACAUAAAUAGUAACAUAUACUCUACUUGACACACUGAUGGAAGAUAGCAGAAAACCCUACUGAAUUGUACCAAUGGCCCAUCUAGUCCAGUGUUCUGCUUUCCACAUUGGCGAAUCAUAUGCCUCCAGGAAGCCCACAAGCAGGUCAUGGAAAACAAUAACUCUCUCCCUGUUAUUCCUCUCCAGUAACUGGUAUUCAGUGAUAGUACUCAAUCAUUGCUACAGAGGUUCCAUUUCGGCAUCAUGGCCAAGCGCCUUUUAAAGCAAUCUAAACGAAUAGCCAUCACAACUUAUGGCAAAAAAAAAAAUUCUAUACAUUAAUUAUAUAUUGUAUGAAAAUGUACUUUUCUGCCAAUCAGUUUCAUUGGGUGACAGUUCUAAUAUAUGAGAGAGAGGAGAGACUUUUCUCUAUUUACUUUCUGCACAUUUACUUUCUACAUAAUUUUAAAACCACUGUCUUUCCCCCUUAGUCUUUUUGUUUUUAACCUAAAAAACGCCAAUUACUUUAGCCUUUCCUUUAGUAAGGUGAUAAUUUUGGUGGUUCUUUGCUGCACAUUUCCCAUUCUAUAAUACCUUUUUAAAAAUGAGGCAAUGAAAUGCGGGUCCACCGUAGGCAUUACAAUAUAGCAUUACCAUAUAAAGGCAUUAAUAUUGGAACAUUUUAUUUUCAGGCUCUUCUCUAAUAAUACCUGACAUGGAAUUUUCCUCUUUUUCGUGACCACAGCACAUUGAGUUGAUGUUUUCAUAGAGCUAUCCACCACAAUCCCAAGAUUGCUUUCCUGAGAUCACCUCACUGUGUAUAUGAUUCAGAUUUAUUAUUAUUAUUAUUUUUUGCUCUAGCAAAAAAAACCUGACUUAACUUAAACUUUAUUUUGUUGCCAACUUUUCACCUAGUUUGAAGAGCUUGUUUUGGAGCUCUUCACAGUUCACUUGGGUUUUCACCACUCUGGAUAAUUUGCUGUUGUCUGAAAACCUGGCCACUUCAUUGCUUGUCCCCAGCUUCAGAUAAUUUAUGAACAAAUUAAAUAGUACUGUUCCUAAUAAAGAUACCUGAGAGCACUGUUCCCUGUAACAAGGAUUCCCAUAUGUUGUUGACUACAACUCCUAUAAUGUUGUUGGGGAGUUGAGGUCAACAUUUUGGGAUAUGGUAGCUGACAACAUCUGGGAAUCCCUGUUACCGAGAACACUGCCUGGGAGACCCAGAUACAGUCCCUUACCAACCACAAGGGUUCUGUUCUUGCAAAACUCAGUGGUUGGCAAGGCUAAGACAUCUAUGGAGAUUGGGAGGUUAGGGGAGCUACGGUUGUGGAUGCACCUGAAAAAUAGCGGCGGGGGGGGGAGCUGGGCACUAAAAAAUCACCAGUUACUAAGAAUAAUUAAGAAUCAUUAAAAAGAAUGAUUAGAUUUUUCCUCAGGAAAAUUUUGGAACCAUCAAAGAUCACUUAAAUUCACCAAGAGUCACCACAAAGAAUGAGCAGAUUGAACCUCUCACUUCCACUUCUCUCCCGCUCCUACAUCUCUCUCUCUCUCUCUCUCUCUCUCUCUCUCUCUCUCUCUCUCUCUUUCUCUCCUCUGUCUCUUUUGUGCUUCUCAUGACCCAAAGUUGUGAUAGGAAAGACCUGCCUACAAAAAUCCAUUCGCAUAUACUUAAAACCACGUUAGACAAAUCUGCUGUUGGUGAGGGACAACUGUACUUACAUGCUAAAAUUUGCUGUUGAUGCCUACUCUCUACUUGUUUCUACCAAAUAAAACCACAUAGCUCUUGGUCACUAGGAGUCGACACUGACUUGAUGGCAUAACUUUACCUUUACUACUUGUUUAACCAGUUACUAAUCCACGACAGGACCUGUCUUCUUGUUCCAUGACUGCUAAGUUUACUAAAGAGCUUUUGAUGAGGGAUCAUUCUGAAGCUGCACUGGUAAAUCAGUUUCUCUAGUACAGAUAUAUAUAUAUUCCUGGUCCAAAGAGGAUGAACACAUACAAUGGGGAUAGAGAAUAAGAAUAAAAAAUCAGCUGCAUGCAUGGAUCUUCUUGAAAGCUUCAUGAAUCACAGUAUUUGGGCAAGGUUCAGAACAACAGUAUUUGGGCAAGAUUCAUUACCUGAAGGAUGAUGCUCUUAUUGGAUUCUAGCAAGUUACCUUGUAGGGGGAGGGGGUUCUUUAAAAUGAGGGCCAUCACUGACAUGGUUCUAAUUCACUUUAGGAAUAGAACCACAUCCAGAGCUUUCUUGGAUGAUUUGGUUGGAGGAAGGCUCUUUAUAGGAGAAUGAGCUUCCUCCUCUGGAAAUGUUGUUCCUUGUCCUGGAACUAGAGUCAGUGCAUUUUCCUGUCUAUACAAGUAUCUAAUGAUGAAUUGGAUUUUUAUUUGCAUACACAAUCAUGUCAACAAUGAACUGGUUAAUCAUAACUAGAAAGUCAUACAAUUGAGUAAAUGCCUGUAUGUUGUUAGGGUUUUGUUUGUGGACUGGGAGCGUGCUUAUUUAUGUAAUCUAUUUAUUUAUUUAACAUUUGCAUUUAAUAACAUUCUGUCACAGUACUUCCACUGUUUUGUUGUUGGCUGAUUCCCCAGGUCAGAUGCGGCACUUUGGCCUAGUUCUCACUAUGGUGCUAAAAAGCCAUCUUUACCACUUAAUACUGUAGAUUAAGAUUCACAUGACUGAAUCAGUAAAAAUCCCUAUUUGUGAAAAUGUAGAAUUCAGGGGGAAGGCUGGGCUAGAGACUUUCUUCCUGAAUGUUAGUGUCUGAUGUGAAGAGAAUAGAGAUAAAAACAAACUUCUGUGAACUUAUUAACAAUGAACGCAUCUUAGGAGGCCUCUGUGUGUCUAGUACUGUCCUAAAACAAUAAUUUAAAUAAUUGUAAGAACAUCUUGGCUAUAUGAUUGCCAUGAAUGACUUUGAAAAUGUUGUACCU